AUACGGAGGGUGCAAGCGUUAAUCGGAAUUACUGGGCGUAAAGCGUACGUAGGCGGUUUGUUAAGUCAGAUGUGAAAGCCCCGGGCUCAACCCUGGAACUGCCUUCAAAACUGGUAAGCUAGAGUACGGAAGAGGAGAGUGGAAUUCCUAGUGUAGAGGUGAAAUUCGUAGAUAUUAGGAAGAACACCAGUGGCGAAGGCGGCUUACUGGAUCAAUACUGACGCUGAGGUGCGAAAGCGUGGGGAGCAAACAGGAUUAGAAACCCCAGUAGUCC
RNAcentral lists this ribosomal RNA (274 nucleotides) under uncultured bacterium. RNAcentral describes it as "partial 16S ribosomal RNA". It matches the Rfam family "Bacterial small subunit ribosomal RNA", at positions 523 to 796 of the family's 1533-position model. The record is from RNAcentral.